This 700-nucleotide ribosomal RNA is filed under the name uncultured bacterium. RNAcentral describes it as "bacterial SSU rRNA". It matches the Rfam family "Bacterial small subunit ribosomal RNA", at positions 94 to 842 of the family's 1533-position model. The record is from RNAcentral.
AGUGGCGGACGGGUGAGUAACACAUAAGAAUUUGCCUUUAGGAGGGGGAUUAAUACCCCAUAUGCUUUCGAGUGAAAUGGAUUUUUCCGCCUAGAGAGAAGCUUGCGGCUGAUUAGCUUGUUGGUGAGGUAAUGGCUUACCAAGGCGACGACCAGUAUCUGGUUUGAGAGGACGAUCAGACACACUGGAACUGAGACACGGUCCAGACUCCUACGGGAGGCAGCAGUGGGGAAUUUUCCGCAAUGGGCGAAAGCCUGACGGAGCAAUCUCGCGUGAGGGAUGACUGCCUAUGGGUUGUAAACCUCUUUUUUCAGGGAGGAAUCAAUGACGUGUACCUGAAGAAUAAGCAUCGGCUAACUCCGUGCCAGCAGCCGCGGUAAGACGGAGGAUGCAAGUGUUAUCCGGAAUCACUGGGCGUAAAGCGUCUGUAGGUGGUUUAAUAAGUCAACUGUUAAAUCUUGAAGCUCAACUUCAAAAUCGGAGUCGAAACUAUUAGACUAGAGUAUAGUAGGGGUAAAGGGAAUUUCCAGUGGAGCGGUGAAAUGCGUAGAGAUUGGAAAGAACACCGAUGGCGAAGGCACUUUACUGGGCUAUUACUGACACUCAGAGGCGAAAGCUAGGGUAGCAAAUGGGAUUAGAUACCCCAGUAGUCCUAGCCGUAAACAAUGGAUACUAGAUGUUGAACAGAUCGACCUGUGCA